Molecule: transfer-messenger RNA, 363 nt
Filed under: Salmonella enterica subsp. enterica serovar Enteritidis
Lineage: Bacteria; Pseudomonadati; Pseudomonadota; Gammaproteobacteria; Enterobacterales; Enterobacteriaceae
Rfam family: transfer-messenger RNA
About the family: Bacterial tmRNA, also known as 10Sa RNA or SsrA, is named for its dual tRNA and mRNA-like properties.
Source: RNAcentral
GGGGCUGAUUCUGGAUUCGACGGGAUUUGCGAAACCCAAGGUGCAUGCCGAGGGGCGGUUGGCCUCGUAAAAAGCCGCAAAAAAAUAGUCGCAAACGACGAAACCUACGCUUUAGCAGCUUAAUAACCUGCUUAGAGCCCUCUCUCCCUAGCCUCCGCUCUUAGGACGGGGAUCAAGAGAGGUCAAACCCAAAAGAGAUCGCGUGGAUGCCCUGCCUGGGGUUGAAGCGCUAAAACGAAUCAGGCUAGUCUGGUAGUGGCGUGUCCGUCCGCAGGUGCCAGGCGAAUGUAAAGACUGACUAAGCAUGUAGUACCGAGGAUGUAGGAAUUUCGGACGCGGGUUCAACUCCCGCCAGCUCCACCA